UUUGAUCCUGGCUCAGAUUGAACGCUGGCGGCAUGCCUUACACAUGCAAGUCGAACGGCAGCGCGGGAGCAAUCCUGGCGGCGAGUGGCGAACGGGUGAGUAAUACAUCGGAACGUGCCCAAUCGUGGGGGAUAACGCAGCGAAAGCUGUGCUAAUACCGCAUACGAUCUACGGAUGAAAGCAGGGGAUCGCAAGACCUUGCGCGAAUGGAGCGGCCGAUGGCAGAUUAGGUAGUUGGUGAGGUAAAGGCUCACCAAGCCUUCGAUCUGUAGCUGGUCUGAGAGGACGACCAGCCACACUGGGACUGAGACACGGCCCAGACUCCUACGGGAGGCAGCAGUGGGGAAUUUUGGACAAUGGGCGAAAGCCUGAUCCAGCAAUGCCGCGUGCAGGAUGAAGACCUUCGGGUUGUAAACUGCUUUUGUACGGAACGAAAAGGCUCUUUCUAAUAAAGAGGGCUCAUGACGGUACCAUAAGAAUAAGCACCGGCUAACUACGUGCCAGCAGCCGCGGUAAUACGUAGGGUGCGAGCGUUAAUCGGAAUUACUGGGCGUAAAGCGUGCGCAGGCGGUGAUGUAAGACAGUUGUGAAAUCCCCGGGCUCAACCUGGGAACUGCAUCUGUGACUGCAUCGCUGGAGUGCGGCAGAGGGGGAUGGAAUUCCGCGUGUAGCAGUGAAAUGCGUAGAUAUGCGGAGGAACACCGAUGGCGAAGGCAAUCCCCUGGGCCUGCACUGACGCUCAUGCACGAAAGCGUGGGGAGCAAACAGGAUUAGAUACCCUGGUAGUCCACGCCCUAAACGAUGUCAACUGGUUGUUGGGAAUUCACUUUCUCAGUAACGGAGCUAACGCGUGAAGUUGACCGCCUGGGGAGUACGGCCGCAAGGUUGAACUCAAAGGAAUUGACGGGGACCCGCACAAGCGGUGGAUGAUGUGGUUUAAUUCGAUGCAACGCGAAAAACCUUACCCACCUUUGACAUGUACGGAAUUUGCCAGAGAUGGCUUAGUGCUCGAAAGAGAGCCGUAACACAGGUGCUGCAUGGCUGUCGUCAGCUCGUGUCGUGAGAUGUUGGGUUAAGUCCCGCAACGAGCGCAACCCUUGUCAUUAGUUGCUACAUUUAGUUGGGCACUCUAAUGAGACUGCCGGUGACAAACCGGAGGAAGGUGGGGAUGACGUCAAGUCCUCAUGGCCCUUAUAGGUGGGGCUACACACGUCAUACAAUGGCUGGUACAAAGGGUUGCCAACCCGCGAGGGGGAGCUAAUCCCAUAAAACCAGUCGUAGUCCGGAUCGCAGUCUGCAACUCGACUGCGUGAAGUCGGAAUCGCUAGUAAUCGUGGAUCAGAAUGUCACGGUGAAUACGUUCCCGGGUCUUGUACACACCGCCCGUCGCACCAUGGGAGCGGGUUCUGCCAGAAGUAGUUAGCUUAACCGCAAGGAGGGCGAUUACCACGGCAGGGUUCGUGACUGGGGUGAAGUCGUAACAAGGUA
This 1488-nucleotide ribosomal RNA is filed under the name metagenome. Its description in RNAcentral is "bacterial SSU rRNA". It matches the Rfam family "Bacterial small subunit ribosomal RNA". The record is from RNAcentral.